This 253-nucleotide ribosomal RNA is filed under the name uncultured bacterium. Its description in RNAcentral is "partial 16S ribosomal RNA". It matches the Rfam family "Bacterial small subunit ribosomal RNA", at positions 524 to 776 of the family's 1533-position model. The record is from RNAcentral.
UACGUAGGGGGCAAGCGUUGUCCGGAUUUAUUGGGCGUAAAGAGCGUGUAGGCGGCCAGGUAGGUCAGCUGUGAAAACUCGAGGCUUAACCUCGAGACGCCGGCUGAAACCCUCUGGCUAGAGUCCGGAAGAGGAGAGUGGAAUUCCCGGUGUAGCGGUGAAAUGCGCAGAUAUCGGGAAGAACACCAGUGGCGAAGGCGGCUCUCUGGGACGGUACUGACGCUAAGGCGCGAAAGCGUGGGGAGCGAACAGG